GGCCAUAGUGGGUGAUAGCCCUGUACGCGAAAAUCCCUUUGCAAUGAAAUCGAGUAGGACGGGGCACGAGAAACCUUGUCUGAAUAUGGGGGGACCAUCCUCCAAGGCUAAAUACUACUGACUGACCGAUAGUGAACCAGUACCGUGAGGGAAAGGCGAAAAGAACCGCGGAGAGCGGAGUGAAAUAGAUCCUGAAACCGUAUGCGUACAAGCAGUGGGAGCCCACUUUGUUGGGUGACUGCGUACCUUUUGUAUAAUGGGUCAGCGACUUAUUUUCAGUGGCGAGCUUAACCGAAUAGGGGAGGCGUAGCGAAAGCGAGUCUUAAUAGGGCGUCUAGUCGCUGGGAAUAGACCCGAAACCGGGCGAUCUAUCCAUGGGCAGGUUGAAGGUUGGGUAACACUAACUGGAGGACCGAACCGACUACCGUUGAAAAGUUAGCGGAUGACCUGUGGAUCGGAGUGAAAGGCUAAUCAAGCUCGGAGAUAGCUGGUUCUCCUCGAAAGCUAUUUAGGUAGCGCCUCAUGUAUCACUGUAGGGGGUAGAGCACUGUUUCGGCUAGGGGGUCAUCCCGACUUACCAAACCGAUGCAAACUCCGAAUACCUACAAGUGCCGAGCAUGGGAGACACACGGCGGGUGCUAACGUCCGUCGUGAAAAGGGAAACAACCCAGACCGUCAGCUAAGGUCCCAAAGUCAUGGUUAAGUGGGAAACGAUGUGGGAAGGCUUAGACAGCUAGGAGGUUGGCUUAGAAGCAGCCACCCUUUAAAGAAAGCGUAAUAGCUCACUAGUCGAGUCGGCCUGCGCGGAAGAUGUAACGGGGCUCAAACCAUGCACCGAAGCUACGGGUAUCAUCUUAGGAUGAUGCGGUAGAGGAGCGUUCUGUAAGCCUGUGAAGGUGAGUUGAGAAGCUUGCUGGAGGUAUCAGAAGUGCGAAUGCUGACAUGAGUAACGACAAUGGGUGUGAAAAACACCCACGCCGAAAGACCAAGGUUUCCUGCGCAACGUUAAUCGACGCAGGGUUAGUCGGUCCCUAAGGCGAGGCUGAAAAGCGUAGUCGAUGGAAAACAGGUUAAUAUUCCUGUACUUCUGGUUAUUGCGAUGGAGGGACGGAGAAGGCUAGGCCAGCCUGGCGUUGGUUGUCCAGGUUUAAGGUGGUAGGCUGAGAUCUUAGGUAAAUCCGGGAUCUUAAGGCCGAGAGCUGAUGACGAGUGUUCUUUUAGAACACGAAGUGGUUGAUGCCAUGCUUCCAAGAAAAGCUUCUAAGCUUCAGGUAACCAGGAACCGUACCCCAAACCGACACAGGUGGUUGGGUAGAGAAUACCAAGGCGCUUGAGAGAACUCGGGUGAAGGAACUAGGCAAAAUGGCACCGUAACUUCGGGAGAAGGUGCGCCGGUGGAGGUGAAGCAUUUACUGCGUAAGCCCCUGCCGGUCGAAGAUACCAGGCCGCUGCGACUGUUUAUUAAAAACACAGCACUCUGCAAACACGAAAGUGGACGUAUAGGGUGUGACGCCUGCCCGGUGCCGGAAGGUUAAUUGAUGGGGUUAGCGCAAGCGAAGCUCUUGAUCGAAGCCCCGGUAAACGGCGGCCGUAACUAUAACGGUCCUAAGGUAGCGAAAUUCCUUGUCGGGUAAGUUCCGACCUGCACGAAUGGCGUAACGAUGGCGGCGCUGUCUCCACCCGAGACUCAGUGAAAUUGAAAUCGCUGUGAAGAUGCAGUGUAUCCGCGGCUAGACGGAAAGACCCCGUGAACCUUUACUAUAGCUUUGCACUGGACUUUGAAUUUGCUUGUGUAGGAUAGGUGGGAGGCUUUGAAGCGUGGACGCCAGUCUGCGUGGAGCCAACCUUGAAAUACCACCCUGGCAACUUUGAGGUUCUAACUCAGGUCCGUUAUCCGGAUCGAGGACAGUGUAUGGUGGGUAGUUUGACUGGGGCGGUCUCCUCCUAAAGAGUAACGGAGGAGUACGAAGGUGCGCUCAGACCGGUCGGAAAUCGGUCGUAGAGUAUAAAGGCAAAAGCGCGCUUGACUGCGAGACAGACACGUCGAGCAGGUACGAAAGUAGGUCUUAGUGAUCCGGUGGUUCUGUAUGGAAGGGCCAUCGCUCAACGGAUAAAAGGUACUCCGGGGAUAACAGGCUGAUACCGCCCAAGAGUUCAUAUCGACGGCGGUGUUUGGCACCUCGAUGUCGGCUCAUCACAUCCUGGGGCUGAAGCCGGUCCCAAGGGUAUGGCUGUUCGCCAUUUAAAGUGGUACGCGAGCUGGGUUUAGAACGUCGUGAGACAGUUCGGUCCCUAUCUGCCGUGGACGUUUGAGAUUUGAGAGGGGCUGCUCCUAGUACGAGAGGACCGGAGUGGACGAACCUCUGGUGUUCCGGUUGUCACGCCAGUGGCAUUGCCGGGUAGCUAUGUUCGGAAAAGAUAACCGCUGAAAGCAUCUAAGCGGGAAACUUGCCUCAAGAUGAGAUCUCACUGGAACCUUGAGUUCCCUGAAGGGCCGUCGAAGACUACGACGUUGAUAGGUUGGGUGUGUAAGCGCUGUGAGGCGUUGAGCUAACCAAUACUAAUUGCCCGUGAGGCUUGACCAUAUAACACCCAAGCAAUU
RNAcentral lists this ribosomal RNA (2602 nucleotides) under Pseudomonas syringae. Its description in RNAcentral is "bacterial LSU rRNA". It matches the Rfam family "Bacterial large subunit ribosomal RNA", at positions 353 to 2925 of the family's 2925-position model. Lineage: Bacteria; Pseudomonadati; Pseudomonadota; Gammaproteobacteria; Pseudomonadales; Pseudomonadaceae. The record is from RNAcentral.